Molecule: ribosomal RNA, 253 nt
Filed under: uncultured bacterium
Lineage: Bacteria
Description: partial 16S ribosomal RNA
Rfam family: Bacterial small subunit ribosomal RNA
Source: RNAcentral
UACGUAGGGUGCAAGCGUUGUCCGGAAUUAUUGGGCGUAAAGAGCUCGUAGGCGGUCUGUCGCGUCUGCUGUGAAAACUCAGGGCUUAACCCUGAGCUUGCAGUGGGUACGGGCAGACUAGAGUGCGGUAGGGGAGACUGGAAUUCCCGGUGUAGCGGUGAAAUGUGUAGAGAUCGGGAGGAACACCGGUGGCGAAGGCGGGUCUCUGGGCAAUUCCUGACGCUGAGGCGCGAAAGCGUGGGGAGCAAACGGG